CUCAACAGCAGUCUGACAAACAUCGAUUCCCGAGAAAAUCAAAUUCCACAAUCUGAUUCCCCCGACACUCUGGAAAAAUUAAUGGAAUCCAAGAAAUUGGCUGCUCUUCUUUCUUCUCUCAUCUCUCAACUUCUUCUCCUCCUUUUACUCAUUUUCCCUUCCUCCAAUUCCUUUGAUUCCAAUACCAAUUCCUAUGCUAACCUUUUACCUCUUCUCCACCAUUUCCUCUCCUCCCA
This 236-nucleotide unclassified non-coding RNA is filed under the name Hevea brasiliensis (rubber tree). The record is from RNAcentral. Lineage: Eukaryota; Viridiplantae; Streptophyta; Magnoliopsida; Malpighiales; Euphorbiaceae.